Molecule: long non-coding RNA, 906 nt
Organism: Oreochromis aureus
Lineage: Eukaryota; Metazoa; Chordata; Actinopteri; Cichliformes; Cichlidae
Source: Ensembl
GUCUCUGAGGCGCGAAUUCCGACAGUGAGAGGAACGGCCGGAUACAGGAGACGGGAAGAAACAAGCCGAUUAUGUUCGCGUUAAUUAGGUGGUUGGAAGAUGUAAAAUUCUCAAUUCUGCCAACUGAACAUAUACGAGAUUUUAAUGAGGAUGAAUAAUCAGCCGGCAUGGAGGAAACGGACCUUUAUUUGGUGGAGUGGCGACAAGAAGCCAAAAGACGGGUGGCCGGUCUAUGAAGCCUCCAUCAUCAAGCUAGCAGCCCAUGAAAUCGAACGCAGAUCUUCCUGAUGUGAGCUUUACAUAAAUUCUUCAGUGGGGGAGAAGCUGAUUGCAGGCUGACAGGAAACGGUGUGCUUUUGCAGAAGCGAAACCGAAACCAGAGCGAGUGCAAGCCAUAAUAAAGAUCUUCAGUGGGGGAGAAGCUGAUUGCAGGCUGACAGGAAACGGUGUGCUUUUGCAGAAGCGAAACCGAAACCAGAGCGAGUGCAAGCCAUAAUAAAGAAUGUCAAAGUCUCAACCUCAUGCUGCCCUCCCCCAUCCUCCUAAAGUUCAAUGGUGCGUGUUCUUCUAAUGGCCGCCUUCCCACUGGAGGUUUUGAUCCACAGCAAUUUAAAAGGAGAACAAAGCAAAACGGACAUCGGCAAGAGAGUGAAGAACUGCCCUUCAUAAGGACACUAUGACAGCCAUAUAUAUGGCCGUAAGGAAGAGGUUUCCCAAUUUGUGCAGAAGGGCUUUGAGGAUUGCAGUGAAAGCUGGGGGAACUGAGACUGCUGGAAAAGGAAAAGAAAUUACAUUUUAAGUAUGUUGACUUAUGUUCAUACAAUCACACACACAUAUACACACACAUAUGUGUGUGUAUAUGUGUAUAUAUAUGUAUAUAUAUAUAUAUAUAUAUAUACACACACA